UUUAAAGCGAAACAAGGGCCUGUGGCGGAUGCCUUGGCACUGAGCGGCGAAGAAGGACGUGGUAAGCUGCGAUAAGUCGGGGGUAGGUGCAUACAACCCAAAAUCCCCGAAUCUCCGAAUGGGACAACCCACUAUGUUGAAGACAUAGUACUCGAAAGAGAGCCAACCCUCUGAACUGAAACAUCUAAGUAGGAGGAGGAAAAGAAAAUAACAAUGAUUCCCCCAGUAGUGGCGAGCGAACGGGGAAGAGCCCAAACCAGAGGAGCGUGCUCCUUUGGGGUUGUAGGACUACUUUUAGAAAGCUACAUCAAGCCGAACCUUUUGGAAAGAAGGACCCUAGCAGGUGACAGUCCUGUAGGCAGAAAUUGUAGUGGACGUGUAGUAUCCUGAGUAGGGCGGGACCAGAGAAAUCCUGUCUGAACCCGCGGGUACCAUCCCGCAAGGCUAAAUACGACUCAAGUGACCGAUAGUGAACCAGUACCGUAAGGGAAAGGUGAAAAGUACUCUGAAUAAGAGAGUGAAAUAGUACCUGAAACCGCAGGCCUACAAGCGGUCGGAGCACCAGCAAUGGUGUGACGGCGUGCCUUUUGCAUAAUGAACCUACGAGUUGCACCUCACUGGCGAGGUUAAGUAUUGAUAAAUACGGAGCCGCAGCGAAAGCGAGUCCGAACAGGGCGAGUCAGUCAGUGGGGGCAGACGCGAAACUUUGUGAUCUAUCCAUGGUCAGGCUGAAGGUGUGGUAACACACACUGGAGGGCCGAACGGGUAAACGUUGAAAAGUUUUCCGAUGAACUGUGGAUAGGGGUGAAAGGCCAAUCAAACUGAGAGAUAGCUCGUUCUCCCCGAAAUGUUUUUAGGAACAGCGUCACAUAAAAGAGGUAUCAUAGAGGUAGAGCUACUGAUUGGGCUAGGGGGCUUCACCGCCUACCAAACCCUGACAAACUCCGAAUGCUAUGAUAUUAUCUGUGGCAGUGAGGCUGCGGGCGCUAAGGUCCGUGGCCGAGAGGGAAAUAACCCAGACUAUCCAUUAAGGCCCCUAAGUAUUGCUUAAGUUGAACAAACGAGGUUCGGAUCCCCAGACAGCCAGGAUGUUGGCUUGGAAGCAGCCAUUCAUUUAAAGAGUGCGUAACAGCUCACUGGUCGAGGGUCCGGGCGCGGAAAAUGAUCGGGCAUCAAAGCAGUCGCCGAAAUGAUAGACUUGAUUCGAAAGGAUCAAUUGGUAGGGGAGCAUUCUAACCGGCGCAGAAGGUGUGUUGUGAAGCAUGCUGGAGCGGUUAGAAAAGAAAAUGUAGGUAUAAGUAACGAUAAAGAGGGUGAGAAACCCUCUCGCCGAAAAGCUAAGGGUUCCUGAUCAACGUUAAUCGGAUCAGGGUUAGUCGGGUCCUUAGGCGUAGCCGAAAGGCGAAGCUGAUGGCAAGCCGGUUAAAAUUCCGGCACUUGUUUUUACUUCGAUGGAGUGACAGGGAAGUGAAAGGUCCGCGUUCUUACGGAAUAGAACGUUAAAGGGUGUAGUUAUAAGUUUUGUAGGCAAAUCCGCAAGACUUGAUGAACCUGAUAGUACACAAAGGCUUCGGCUGGCGUGAUAGUGACCCUAAACCGGCCAGCGAGAAAACCUUCUAAGUUAUGGUAAAGACAACCCGUACCGCAAACCGACACAGGUAGCUGGGAUGAGUAUUCUAAGGCGCUCGGGUGAGCCGUGGAGAAGGAACUAGGCAAAUUGACGCUGUAACUUCGGGAUAAGGCGUACCAUAGCGAUAUGGUCUCAGUAAAAUGGUUCAACCAACUGUUUAGCAAAAACACAGGGCCCUGCUAAUUCGAAAGAAGACGUAUAGAGCCUGAUACCUGCCCGGUGCUGGAAGGUUAAGGAAGCUUGUUCGCAGCAAUGCAAAGCUUGUGACCGAAGCCCCAGUAAACGGCGGCCGUCACUAUAACGGUCCUAAGGUAGCGAAAUUCCUUGUAGGGUGAGGACCGCGCUGGCCGACAGAGCUAACAACAUGGGCGACGCAGCGCGGCCGGG
RNAcentral lists this ribosomal RNA (2017 nucleotides) under Bacteroidota bacterium. RNAcentral's name for it is "Bacteroidetes bacterium (activated sludge metagenome) partial 23S ribosomal RNA". It matches the Rfam family "Bacterial large subunit ribosomal RNA", at positions 1 to 2030 of the family's 2925-position model. The record is from RNAcentral. Lineage: Bacteria; Pseudomonadati; Bacteroidota.